Molecule: long non-coding RNA, 488 nt
Organism: Phasianus colchicus (ring-necked pheasant)
Lineage: Eukaryota; Metazoa; Chordata; Aves; Galliformes; Phasianidae
Source: RefSeq, a predicted model, not a curated record
GGGUAUCUUGUUGGGAAUCUCUGCUUACUAGAGCCCUUCCAAAGUGGCCAUUUUGAUGAGGGCUCAGCACUAAGAUGAGUUUUGGCUUAGAGAAUUAUCUGCUUAAUUUCAAUCUUGUGGACCAGGACCCUUUUCCUCCAUUCCCACAUUUCUCAUGGACCUCACAAAGGCCAAAUAAACAGCUGAAAUGUGACUGGACACCCAACAGCCUUCACACAUUGAGUUUGGAGGAUAGAUGACAAAAUUCAGAAUGCAUCCAUGUAACCAGAUAUGUCCUCAUCUCUAAUAUCUCAUCUGGGCAGGUACAGAAAGGGCCAUUGUCAGCAAAUAAACGAUGAAAUGUCAGACAAUCAUUCCAAAACUGGUCUAAGUCACUUAGGAACAUAAGUGUUGUUCUCAAGAACGAUAGGGAUGCUUAGAUACUAACACAUACCAUUUUUAAUAAUAGAUUUUAAGAAGUAAUUAUUUACCUGAGGAGAUUAUGUGAC